UCUAGGUUCCUCCCCCUUCUCUCAUUAUAUCUAUACUUCAAUUAUAUGUCACAUAUAUUUAACCUUGGAUUUGGGGAGAUUAGGGGGUGUUUUUGGUGAUGCCAUAGAGAGGAAGUUGAUGAGCUUGAGGAGGGCUUUCAUUUGGCACCAAUAUUGCUUGGGUUUGGAAGAGUUCAAAAUUUGGCUUAGCCUUAGGCCUUGAUUGGCUAAUCACUUUGAGGUCAUGGCAAAGAAUUGGCGGACAAUAACCCACCACCAGUUUAGUCGAGUUGAUGAACUUGACUCUUUUGUGCUUAAUGAUCUUAACCCUUUUGUUGUAAAUAAUAUUAGGGAUCAAUUUGUAUCUUCCACAUGGUUGGAAAUGGUCUUGAGACCAUUCUCUUGUAUUUUGUGGUCUCAUUAUGAUUUCAACAUCCAUGUAAAGCCUUAAGGCCAUAUUUUUGAUGUAUGACGAAUUUGCUAAAUUUUAAUGAUGUGUCGGACU
Long non-coding RNA from Cornus florida, 484 nucleotides. RefSeq lists it as uncharacterized. The transcript is spliced from 2 exons. The record is from RefSeq and is a predicted model, not a curated record. Lineage: Eukaryota; Viridiplantae; Streptophyta; Magnoliopsida; Cornales; Cornaceae.